This 381-nucleotide long non-coding RNA is filed under the name Cricetulus griseus (Chinese hamster). RNAcentral's name for it is "lncRNA (ENSCGRG00000024527.1)". Lineage: Eukaryota; Metazoa; Chordata; Mammalia; Rodentia; Cricetidae. The record is from RNAcentral.
UUUUGUUUUGUUUUUUUUUCCCUUCCCCUACAGUUCCAAGGAUGGGAGUGAAAAGCUGGAGGUCAAACAGCUCUAAGGUUGUGUUAAUCCAGACCAGAAGUGAUAGUGGCUUGAGCUAUGCAGCAGAUAUGCAGGUGGAGACUCAACGGAGAACAGAACAGUCUUACUAAAAAUUACAGAGAGAAAGUGGAAAUAAAGAAUUGUGGCCUUGACACGGAUGUGUACAAUGGAGGCCUCUGCGUAUGUAUGUACCCAGUGCUGCCAAGACCCACGGUGAAACUGUAUCUUCUGGCCACAGUUUUAAGGCUUACAGACGCCCGGAACCCUUGCACCCCAGGUUCCUUGGAGCCUUUCUCCAGGGCUAAUCCCAAGGGUUCCUGA